Molecule: long non-coding RNA, 1143 nt
Filed under: Cyanistes caeruleus (blue tit)
Lineage: Eukaryota; Metazoa; Chordata; Aves; Passeriformes; Paridae
Description: lncRNA (ENSCCEG00000016975.1)
Source: RNAcentral
CGGACACCGCGCCGCCCCGCGCGGCUGCCGCUCGCUCCCCUGCCGCGUGCUCUUGCCCCCGUUGAGUCUCUAGCACUGAGCGCGCAAAAGUGUCCAUCAUCAUAAUAAUACACAAUAAUAAUAAUAAUUAAUGAUGAUAAUAGCAGCGCCUUCUGUGCCAGUUAAAGACUCCGCUUUCCUUUCUCUGAGCACUAGCAGACAGAUGAUUUGCCCGAAGUUGAUGCACGUGGUUUAAAGGGCAGUGGGCGCAGGAGCCGCAGCCCGAGCUCUGCUCUCGUGUCAGGCGCUGCCGAACGCACUCGGUCCCAGCACAGCAAAGGCCAGGGAUGGUGGAUCAGCCGUGUCUUAUCAGCCGUGUCUCCCGACAGGCACGGGAGCCCCGAAGAGCCCAAAGCAAGCCGGCUGUGUGUGCCUGUUGGGCUCCUCCCUGCUGGCCCGGGCUCUCCGGGCACACAGAGCGUUCCCCGGACACGCAGGCGGUGCCAGCAUCCCCCUCUCAGAGCUGAGCGAGCCGGGAUGCUCGGACGCUGCAGCACAGCUCCUCUCCAGGCAGACAAAUCCGACGAGAACAGAACCUCGGACCCACCGGGAUGCCCGUGUCCCCUGUUCCACUUCUGGCAAUUCCUCCUUUUUUAACCUCUUCUGUCUGAAAAUACACAUUUCUUUGCAGCUGUCCUGGUUUUAGGACAAGCAGUGAUGAGCCACAGGAACACAAGCUUUGAGAUUUGCAUUUUGGAGAAAACAGGUUUCAGAAAACUGAAAGUAGCCAACAUAACCUGUGAAAAUGGGACAGAACAACAUCAAGUAUAAAUGCAUUUGCUGUGCAAUAAUUUAGAACCACAAUAACAUCCCAUUAAAAAUAUUAAUUUUUAAAAAUGAGAUGCCCUGUAUAGCAAGUACUAAUGGAAGCAAUCAAGUUUUAGAACAGAUGAUGUAAGAGAAAGCUAUUUAAAAUAGAAUCUCCACCGCCUCUUUCUCCAUUCAGAGCCCACAGAGGAAGGUGCAAAGCAGUUCUUACAAAGUGACUCAAAACUUCCCAGCCACUAUCAGCGGCUUGCUUCAGACAUAUAUAAAGUUUCCUUUUCUUUGAAAAAGUUUAAAGACACAGUAAGGUUUCAAUAAAUCCCUCCUCCUGUAAUGUCA